AUGAAAUUAAGGAUGCUGCCUCUGCUUCUCAAGCAGCGGCUGAGUUUGCAGAACAUGCUAGCCUAGCUGCCAGGGCUACUGGAGAACUUUCAAGGCAAUAUUGUGUUGAUGAUGGUGGUUCAUGCCACUUAGGUUUCAAGAAUGAAUGGUUGUAACAUGGACAAUCAUUUCCUGGAGAUGGUAAUGGUAAUUUUUCUGUUGGCAGGCAGAAAAUGAACAUGAAAUUUAAGGAUGCUACCGCUGCUGCUCAAGCAGCGGCUGAGUUUGCAGAACAUGCAAGCCUAGCUGCUAGAGCUGUUGUAGAACAUUCAAGGUUAUAUUUGGUUGAUGAUGGUGGUUCAUGCCUCUUAGGUUUCAAGGAUAAAAGGUUAGAACACGGGCAAUCAUUUCCUGGAGAUGGUAAAUUAUCUGUUGGCAGGCAGAAUUGGAACAUGAAAUUAAGGAUGUUGCCU
RNAcentral lists this long non-coding RNA (452 nucleotides) under Nicotiana tabacum (common tobacco). Its description in RNAcentral is "long non-coding RNA (NTAB_LNC007026)". Lineage: Eukaryota; Viridiplantae; Streptophyta; Magnoliopsida; Solanales; Solanaceae. The record is from RNAcentral.